CAGCACCUCAAGUGGUCAGGAUGAUUAUUGGGCCUAAAUCAUCCGUAGCCGGCGCUGUAAGUUUUCGGUUAAAUCUGUACGCUCAACGUACAGGCUGCCGGGAAUACUGCAGCGCUAGGGAGUGGGAGAGGUAGACGGUACUCGGUAGGAAGGGGUAAAAUCCUUUGAUCUAUUGAUGACCACCUGUGGCGAAGGCGGUCUACCAGAACACGUCCGACGGUGAGGGAUGAAAGCUGGGGGAGCAAACCGGAUUAGAUACCCGAGUAGUCC
Molecule: ribosomal RNA, 270 nt
Filed under: uncultured archaeon
Lineage: Archaea
Description: partial 16S ribosomal RNA
Rfam family: Archaeal small subunit ribosomal RNA
Source: RNAcentral